ACGAAGGUGGCUAGCGUUGUUCGGUGUCACUGGGCUUAAAGAGUAUGUAGGCGGAAAGGUAAGCGUUUUGUGAAAUCCCUCGGCUUAACCGAGGAAUUGCUUGACGAACUAUCUUUCUUGAGGCAAGUAGGGGUGCAUGGAACUCUUGGUGUAGCGGUGGAAUGCGUAGAUAUCAAGAGGAACGCCAAUGGAGAAGGCGGUGCACUGGACUUGUCCUGACGCUGAGAUACGAAAGCGUGGGGAGCGAACGG
This 251-nucleotide ribosomal RNA is filed under the name uncultured prokaryote. RNAcentral's name for it is "partial 16S rRNA". It matches the Rfam family "Bacterial small subunit ribosomal RNA", at positions 525 to 775 of the family's 1533-position model. The record is from RNAcentral.